Molecule: non-coding RNA, 88 nt
Organism: Pholiota molesta
Lineage: Eukaryota; Fungi; Basidiomycota; Agaricomycetes; Agaricales; Strophariaceae
Source: the annotation of a GenBank genome assembly
GGGCUAGUAGCUUAGAUGGUAGAGCACAGCCAUGGUAUGGGGUAUGCCAAUACCCUAGAGGUCCCGGGUUCGAUCCCCGGCUGGUCCG